Molecule: non-coding RNA, 71 nt
Organism: Cordylochernes scorpioides
Lineage: Eukaryota; Metazoa; Arthropoda; Arachnida; Pseudoscorpiones; Chernetidae
Source: the annotation of a GenBank genome assembly
UGCAUCGGCCGGGAAUCGAACCCGGGCCGCCCGCGUGGCAGGCGAGCAUUCAACCACUAAGCCACCGAUGC